Molecule: ribosomal RNA, 468 nt
Filed under: uncultured bacterium
Lineage: Bacteria
Description: partial 16S ribosomal RNA
Rfam family: Bacterial small subunit ribosomal RNA
Source: RNAcentral
GACGAACGCUGGCGGCGUGCUUAACACAUACAAGUCGAACGGAAAGGCCCUGCUUUUGUGGGGUGCUCGAGUGGCGAACGGGUGAGUAACACGUGAGUAACCUGCCCUUGACUUUGGGAUAACUUCAGGAAACUGGGGCUAAUACCGGAUAGGAGCUCCUGCUGCAUGGUGGGGGUUGGAAAGUUUCGGCGGUUGGGGAUGGACUCGCGGCUUAUCAGCUUGUUGGUGGGGUAGUGGCUUACCAAGGCUUUGACGGGUAGCCGGCCUGAGGGGGUGACCGGCCACAUUGGGACUGAGAAACGGCCCAGACUCCUACGGGAGGCAGCAGUGGGGAAUAUUGCACAAUGGGCGGAAGCCUGAUGCAGCAACGCCGCGUGCGGGAUGACGGCCUUCGGGUUGUAAACCGCUUUCGCCUGUGACGAAGCGUGAGUGACGGUAAUGGGUAAAGAAGCACCGGCUAACUACGUG